ACGCACGCUGGCGGCGUGCUUAACACAUGCAAGUCGCACGGAAAGGCCCUGCUUUUGUGGGGUGCUCGAGUGGCGAACGGGUGAGUAACACGUGAGUAACCUGCCCUUGACUUUGGGAUAACUUCAGGAAACUGGGGCUAAUACCGGAUAGGAGCUCCUGCUGCAUGGUGGGGGUUGGAAAGUUUCGGCGGUUGCGGAUGGACUCGCGGCUUAUCAGCUUGUUGGUGGGGUAGUGGCUUACCAAGGCUUUGACGGGUAGCCGGCCUGAGAGGGUGACCGGCCACAUUGGGACUGAGAUACGGCCCAGACUCCUACGGGAGGCAGCAGUGGGGAAUAUUGCACAAUGGGCGGAAGCCUGAUGCAGCAACGCCGCGUGCGGGAUGACGGCCUUCGGGUUGUAAACCGCUUUCGCCUGUGACGAAGCGUGAGUGACGGUAAUGGGUAAAGAAGCACCGGCUAACUACGUG
This 467-nucleotide ribosomal RNA is filed under the name uncultured bacterium. RNAcentral describes it as "partial 16S ribosomal RNA". It matches the Rfam family "Bacterial small subunit ribosomal RNA", at positions 29 to 507 of the family's 1533-position model. The record is from RNAcentral.